AACGCGAAGAACCUUACCUAGGUUUGACAUCCUUUGACAACUACAGAGAUGUAGCUUUCGUAGCAAUACGACAAAGAGACAGGUGCUGCAUGGCUGUCGUCAGCUCGUGUGGUGGCAUGUCGGGUUAAGUCCCUCAACGAGCGCAACCCCUGUGUUUAGUUGCCAGCAUUAAGUUGGGCACUCUAGACAGACUGCCGUGGUUAACACGGAGGAAGGCGGGGAUGACGUCAAGUCCUCAUGGCCCUUACACCUAGGGCGACACACGUAAUACAAUGGUCGACACAAAGGGACGCGAAAUGGUGACAUGGAGCAAAUCUCAAAAAGUCGAUCUCAGUUCGGAUUGGAGUCUGCAACUCGACUCCAUGAAGGCGGAAUCGCUAGUAAUCGCGGAUCAGCACGCCGCGGUGAAUACGUUCCCGGGCCUUGUCACACCGGUAUCUC
Molecule: ribosomal RNA, 441 nt
Filed under: uncultured bacterium
Lineage: Bacteria
Description: bacterial SSU rRNA
Rfam family: Bacterial small subunit ribosomal RNA
Source: RNAcentral